This 694-nucleotide ribosomal RNA is filed under the name uncultured bacterium. RNAcentral's name for it is "bacterial SSU rRNA". It matches the Rfam family "Bacterial small subunit ribosomal RNA", at positions 8 to 695 of the family's 1533-position model. The record is from RNAcentral.
AGAGUUUGAUCAUGGCUCAGAUUGAACGCUGGCGGCAUGCCUUACACAUGCAAGUCGAACGGCAGCACGGGAGCAAUCCUGGUGGCGAGUGGCGAACGGGUGAGUAAUAUAUCGGAACGUGCCCAGUCGUGGGGGAUAACGCAGCGAAAGCUGUGCUAAUACCGCAUACGAUCUCUGGAUGAAAGCGGGGGACUCGCAAGGGCCUCGCGCGAUUGGAGCGGCCGAUAUCAGAUUAGCUAGUUGGUGGGGUAAAAGCUUACCAAGGCGACGAUCUGUAGCUGGUCUGAGAGGACGACCAGCCACACUGGAACUGAGACACGGUCCAGACUCCUACGGGAGGCAGCAGUGGGGAAUUUUGGACAAUGGGCGCAAGCCUGAUCCAGCAAUGCCGCGUGCAGGAUGAAGGCCUUCGGGUUGUAAACUGCUUUUGUACGGAACGAAAAGGUUGUCUUUAAUACAGAUGGCUCAUGACGGUACCGUAAGAAUAAGCACCGGCUAACUACGUGCCAGCAGCCGCGGUAAUACGUAGGGUGCGAGCGUUAAUCGGAAUUACUGGGCGUAAAGCGUGCGCAGGCGGUGAUGUAAGACAGAUGUGAAAUCCCCGGGCUCAACCUGGGACCUGCAUUUGUGACUGCAUCGCUAGAGUGCGGCAGNNNGGGAUGGAAUUCCGCGUGUAGCAGUGAAAUGCGUAGAU